UAAAUCACUGUAUGUUCCCAUUUGUUCC
This 28-nucleotide non-coding RNA is filed under the name Mus musculus (house mouse). The record is from RNAcentral. Lineage: Eukaryota; Metazoa; Chordata; Mammalia; Rodentia; Muridae.